This 72-nucleotide transfer RNA is filed under the name Camelus bactrianus (Bactrian camel). It matches the Rfam family "tRNA". From Rfam's summary of the family: Transfer RNA (tRNA) molecules are approximately 80 nucleotides in length. RNAcentral also lists the same sequence under 1 other name. The record is from Rfam by way of RNAcentral. Lineage: Eukaryota; Metazoa; Chordata; Mammalia; Artiodactyla; Camelidae.
GAGGGUAUAGCUCAGCAGUAGAGUGCGUGCCUAGCAUGCACAAAGUCCUGGGUUCAAUCCCCAGUACUUCCA